RNAcentral lists this ribosomal RNA (1208 nucleotides) under metagenome. RNAcentral's name for it is "bacterial SSU rRNA". It matches the Rfam family "Bacterial small subunit ribosomal RNA", at positions 288 to 1520 of the family's 1533-position model. The record is from RNAcentral.
CGGACUGAGAGGUUGAACGGCCACAUUGGGACUGAGACACGGCCCAGACUCCUACGUGAGGCAGCAGUGGGGAAUAUUGCACAAUGGGGGAAACCCUGAUGCAGCGACGCCGCGUGGAGGAAGAAGGUCUUCGGAUUGUAAACUCCUGUUGUUGAGGAAGAUAAUGACGGUACUCAACAAGGAAGUGACGGCUAACUACGUGCCAGCAGCCGCGGUAAAACGUAGGUCACAAGCGUUGUCCGGAAUUACUGGGUGUAAAGGGAGCGCAGGCGGGAAGACAAGUUGGAAGUGAAAUCCAUGGGCUCAACCCAUGAACUGCUUUCAAAACUGUUUUUCUUGAGUAGUGCAGAGGUAGGCGGAAUUCCCGGUGUAGCGGUGGAAUGCGUAGAUAUCGGGAGGAACACCAGUGGCGAAGGCGGCCUACUGGGCACCAACUGACGCUGAGGCUCGAAAGUGUGGGUAGCAAACAGGAUUAGAUACCCUGGUAGUCCACACUGUAAACGAUGAUUACUAGGUGUUGGAGGAUUGACCCCUUCAGUGCCGCAGUUAACACAAUAAGUAAUCCACCUGGGGAGUACGACCGCAAGGUUGAAACUCAAAGGAAUUGACGGGGGCCCGCACAAGCAGUGGAGUAUGUGGUUUAAUUCGACGCAACGCGAAGAACCUUACCAAGUCUUGACAUCCUGCGACGGUGCUGGAAACAGUACUUUCCUUCGGGACGCAGAGACAGGUGGUGCAUGGUUGUCGUCAGCUCGUGUCGUGAGAUGUUGGGUUAAGUCCCGCAACGAGCGCAACCCUUAUGGUCAGUUACUACGCAAGAGGACUCUGGCCAGACUGCCGUUGACAAAACGGAGGAAGGUGGGGAUGACGUCAAAUCAUCAUGCCCUUUAUGACUUGGGCUACACACGUACUACAAUGGCGUUAAACAAAGAGAAGCAAGACCGCGAGGUGGAGCAAAACUCAGAAACAACGUCCCAGUUCGGACUGCAGGCUGCAACUCGCCUGCACGAAGUCGGAAUUGCUAGUAAUCGCAGAUCAGCAUGCUGCGGUGAAUACGUUCCCGGGCCUUGUACACACCGCCCGUCACACCAUGAGAGCCGGGGGGACCCGAAGUCGGUAGUCUAACCGCAAGGAGGACGCCGCCGAAGGUAAAAACUGGUGAUUGGGGUGAAGUCGUAACAAGGUAGCCGUAGGAGAACCUGCGGCUG